Molecule: transfer RNA, 76 nt
Filed under: Bacillota bacterium
Lineage: Bacteria; Bacillati; Bacillota
Also listed under: 3 other names
Description: tRNA-Asp
Rfam family: tRNA
About the family: Transfer RNA (tRNA) molecules are approximately 80 nucleotides in length. Their secondary structure includes four short double-helical elements and three loops (D, anti-codon, and T loops).
Source: RNAcentral
GGAGUCGUGGUGUAGCGGUAAACAUGCCGGCCUGUCACGCCGGAGAUCGCGGGUUCGAUUCCCGUCGACUCCGCCA